Molecule: long non-coding RNA, 798 nt
Organism: Tribolium castaneum (red flour beetle)
Lineage: Eukaryota; Metazoa; Arthropoda; Insecta; Coleoptera; Tenebrionidae
Exons: 3
Source: RefSeq, a predicted model, not a curated record
UGUGUGAGAUGAAUUGUAAUAUCGAUUUUUUCGCAAUGAUAAGGAAUCAUCAUUCAUCGGCUUAUCUGUAACUGGGGUCUUAAAAUGUGUAAAAAAUAAAUCAAGUGGAAGUUUUAUCGAUAGAGUCGAUUUUAAAAUAAUAAUGGGGCAAACAAAUUUGUUUCCAACACUGUCACACAAAAUAUAAUAAAUAGUGCUUUCGAAUUUUUGUCUAUUUUUUUUUUAAUUUAUAAUGUUUUUUUCCCGAAAAUUAUUUCAUAACCUGUGAAAUGAACGAUUUUAUGGCUCGUUUUUGAGAAAUUCGGUUAAUUGGAAAGGUUGUGACUAAGAAACAGUCGAAAAUCGACGUCAAAUAUUGAUAAAUCCAGAGAACACAAAUUUCAAAUCGCGCGCCUGUCGGUCAUACGUCAACGGCGUCAACCAAUGAGACGUCGUGCCAUGAUGUCACGCAUUAGAGUGGUGGGGACGCAUUUUCACGUCAGAGCGUCCUCAAGUUUUUUGAUUUUGUGGUGUGUACAAAAGUGUUGUGUGUGUGUUUUGUGCCAAAAUGACUGAAAUCCAAGGUUUUUAUUGGAAAUCUGACGAGGUGACGUCAUCGGUUGCAGUCUGGAACCGAAUUCUGAGAAAUGCUCGAGAACGCGCCAAAAGCAAGAGGGACGCUACCUCAGGAAUCGCUCUGCCGGAGAUUUACGCCGACGAUAUGCUAAGGUGUGACUUCGAGAUUCACGCCAAAUUAAUAAAUGGUAAGUGAUAGUUUUGUAGUUUUGAGUCAAUAUUUCGGCAAAUUUUAUUACACAU